This is a long non-coding RNA of Cavia porcellus (domestic guinea pig), 682 nucleotides long. RefSeq lists it as uncharacterized. The transcript is spliced from 3 exons. NCBI's taxonomy places the organism in Eukaryota, Metazoa, Chordata, Mammalia, Rodentia, Caviidae. The record is from RefSeq and is a predicted model, not a curated record.
UUGGGCUGGGUUGAGCUCCACUUGGCCCUGGCUCAGUCAGCCACAACCAGAGAGGAGAAGGGCUUCCUGUCUGCGUGCCUCCAGGGCUGGCGGGGGGUCCAGACCACAUCGGGCUUCAGGACGGGAAUUCACUAGCCCUUAAGGGGGCCUCUGAGGGGGGAUCCAUCUGUGGGCCGUGGGCAGAAGGGCGAGACCCUGGCCCUGGGCACUGGCUUCACUGGGGCCUCAGAAAACCCCCCACGCCUCAGCUUGGGGCCUGGGCACUGGUUUCUGCCAGUGUCUGGAAAACAAGGGGACCCCCAGAGCUCCAAGCCUGUUGGGGGUGGGGAAAGUCUUUUCUAGCACUCUGUCCUGGUCCUGCUGCUCCACCUCUGAAAAGGCUGGCUUAUCUUCUAGAUACCCAAAGAGCUUGCCUGCCUCUGCUUCCUGGAGCAGACUGCCAGACCUGGGAUGCUCACCACUGCACACAGCACAGGGCGAGUGCUCAGAAGCGUUUGCAGGAACCAAUGAAGAAGCGAGUUAGUGGUGAAACAGAAUCUUCCUGUUUAGUUCAGAUUGGCCUUGAACUCACUAUGUGGUCUUGAACUUGCGGCGAUCCACCUGCCUCAGCCUCCCAAUAAUUGGAAUUAUCGAUGCAUCACCACGCCUAGUUUGGAGCCUGUUGAUUGAAAAAGAGCUCAUC